CACUACGGAGGCAAGUGGCUGCCGCAGCGGCAUUUCAUCAGAGGGAAUUAAUCAGAGCAGAUGAAGCGACAACCGAAAAAUAACGACGCGGCAUCUCUUAAAGACCUCGCCUCGCCUUAUCUCCUCAAUCGCCAGAGCCACAGCCGGCUUUCAGUGCGUGUCCGUGCCUCUUCCACGACCCGUUUGGUUGCAGCCUCUCCUCGUACGUACUCCUCGUAUACAUACAUACAUAUAUUAUUGAAAACUGGCGCUUGGAGCGACAUCAGCGGAAUGUCAUUGAGAGAUGUACGAUGCUUGUACGAGAAUCAGGGACCGGGAGCGGGAACGGGAACGGGAAUGAGGGAAUGCAAACAUGUCCGGUCUGACGUUUAUGAAAAGCCAUCCCAUCGCAGCAUCAAAGCCAAUUAAGAUACUGGACUCCACUCCCAAUACAAGCUCUAAAAAGGAAUACGCGGCUAAUUUCUGCGACAAAGCCGACAAACGAUCCAGCGUCCAGUGUCCAGUGUCUCUGGAGUCGAGAAGCGGCACUUUUGUCGCAAACACACAGGCCGUAAAAUUAAGAACUCUGAUUGGUAACAAAUGUUUUUGUUCAUUCGAGUGAUAAAAACGUAGCGAACCGAAAAGAUAUAAAAUUCUCUUUAGUGUCUUCCCAGCCCAGAGAUGAUAAAAUAUUUAAAUGAGCCGAACGAACGAACGAAAGAACGAACGAACGCCGAACGCAAAGGUUCUCUCUCGGACAUUUAGGAAAUCAGAGACCCAGAAGAGACCUUAAUGGCCGCGCGCACGCACUCGUAUUCGGACUUGGACUCGGAGUUGGAUUCUCAAAUGUGAGCAGAGCGGCCUCCUCCCUGGAUAUGGAGGACAUCGACAACCGACAGCCGACAACAGACAACCGUACAGUGGGUACCACAGCGACGGCGACUAAGACCAAGGGCAAAGUGUGAAACACCGACUGGGCGUAACGCCAAUAGCGCUCGCUCGUCGAUAACCACUGUAUCCGAAGUAAGUCGGUCGGCUGUCAUGAUUAAAUAAAACUCCAAUGCAAACGGUCCGGCUAGGAUAUUAAAUUACAGCCAUAACGGCUUUGGGAUUGACUCCGAGAGUGGAGAGUGGAAGGAGUGACAGGGGAGAGACAGAGGAGGAGGCAGAGACAAAGGUAAAGGCCAUGCCGGCAGGACAAGCAACCCAAAAGGCUUGUCUUGCCAGCGUCUUUUGGGCCCAAGCCGCAGGGCCCAAGCCCAAUCCAAAUCCAAGUCCAGGCCAACAGGCACUGCGACAGAUACACAGAUACACAGAUACAGAGGAAGAGAAAGAGCCACGACAAAAUCAUAAAAGACAUAAACAGUUGUAAAGACCCAAACCACAAAGGGCGUAGAAUCAAAAUUGAGCACUAAAACGUUAUCGAGGUCGUCUCAGAUUAACUAGCCUUUUGCUGUGUCGAUGACAGGACCGACGACACACUGGAUGUGGCCGGCCGGUAAGGCCAGGCAGGCGGACAGAUAUGCGAGCGUAACGCGUCGGUGGGACCUGGGACCUGAAACCUGGACCACGCAGGGGCAGGGGCAGGGGCAGGGGUCUGGUCUGCAGACAAGAUGACCUGCCUGCCGUGUAAUCCGGACCUGUCCUGCCCUGUCCCGUUCUGUUCCCCCCGCUGGCUGGACGGUGCCUCGUCGACGACCCACAACAGUGCUAUUGUGCGACAAGUUUGUCAUUCACAACCGUCUCGCCGAUAAGAAACCAUUACGAGUGUACGAAAGAGGAAAGGACUCUGUACAGAGAGAUCUUUCACUGAAUGGCGCCAGUUUCACAAUGAAUUCUGAUUCUGGCCAAAUUAUGGGAAUAUUUUCAGCCAUUGAUUCGUAGCGGGGUAUGCUGGAAGACCUCCAUAGAUGAGAAAUGAUAUGAAAGCAAGGGCUUCUUGUUUUAGAGAUGGCUGUGACUUGAAAUCCCACUGACAUCCCAAAAAUAUGCUGAUUUAUUUAUUGUACGAAUACUAGCAAUUUUUCAGCUACGAAAGUGGCUCAAUUUUAUGGGAUAUUAGGUACGAGUGUACUGUAUAUAAAAAUAUAAAUACCCACGUAAAAUAUUUUAGGUUAGCGUCACAUUUUUCUACCCCCAAUUGGAUUUUAUGAGACUCGCACAGGGCCAAGGCAUCGACGUUGAUUGCGGGGUGUAUCCAAGGAGGCACUCGUCCUAAUGCCUGGCCCUUUAAGGAACAUAAUUUCAUCCACGUGUCGGGGAUUACACAUUAACAUCGCUACUGUGUUCAUUUGGAGGGCGUGUCACUACAAGCGGCUGCUCUUAAUCUUCAUCCUUAGGAUAGGAAUCAAUUUAGUCAGGCAAUAAUUUCCGUCUCUCUGUAUACGAUACAUAUGUACGAGUAUGUACACUCGAAUGUAUUCUUAAAAUAAGUAAUGAUAUAGCCCUGUAGACGAUGAAUGUGUUGUCAAUUUGUAGCAUACAUAUAUGCAGAAUGUAUAAACCAUUAGAAAACGAUUAGACAAAAGAAAGUUGUGAUAUGUAAUUUCCAUAAGGGAAGUGUCAAAAAUUGACUAGCAGAAAAGUCAGGAUCGAGUGCGGAUCAAUCGGUUCUAAAUCGGUUCUAAAGGUUGUUAUGAAAUAAGUUAAGCGAACGAACAUAUUUAUUAAGAUCCAAUUGAAAAGGUCGUAGUUUACGCUGAGAAACAAGAGACGUUUUGUGUCAGAUUGUGUUCUCUUAUAUGUAUGCACAAAAAAACAUUGUGUCUGCGUCGAAGAAUGAGAGUUUGCUGGAACUAUGACCCAUCCCACUCUCUUCUCAUAUUUAAAUUCAAAUCGGCGCCGGCGCCACCUGUCAGUCCGUCGCUGUACUUUUGCACGAUCCGAUCCCCAUCGUGUACUUGCCUCACUUGCAUCCUGCCCCCCUUGCGACUCCUGAAGCUCUUCAGAAACGGGGAUCGCCAACGACGCGCAACUGCAGUGUGGCCCAAAGAAGAGAACGUUAAAAACAUUGUUCUCGUUAUACAGAAAUCAUGUCUGCUCCGCCCGGCCCGGCCCUUGGAGAUCGGUUCGGUCGUGGCCAGUACAAAAUGGCAAAAUGUACGAUCCGAUUGUGCAUGCGGGCCACACAGAAAUCAGGGUAGGGACAACGAAUGCUGGCGAUAAAAGUGCAGCAAAAGAUGUUUUCAUUGAGCAUUGAUACCAGGCUUCUAAUGACAUCUAUGCAGACCAGUCAGUCGGUUAUCUCUUUCCCCGCAGAGACUGUCCUAAACCGCAAUGACCCCGAUCGCCGCAGGAGCAUUGUCUGCUAGACUAUCGUCCCUGUCCAUUCAAACUACUUUCCAGACCAGGGACCAAAGACCAGAGACCAGAGACCAUAGGGACGAAGAGUAAAAACUAUACUCGUACGAGUAUACGAGCAUAAUCGUAUAAGGGGCCAAUGCCAAUGCGCCGACACCCCGCUGCGGUGUGAGCACACAGCCGCCUAUAAUUGAGUUAUACAUUCGUCUGGCUGGCCGACUGACCCCUGGUGGUGCCGGUACCUUCCCUCCGCCCUCUACCCUCUUUCCGAGGGUUCGCAGCAGCUUAGCGGACAAUGUUUUGACAUAAAUAAAUGCUUGAAUGACUUUAAGUGAUGGCAUUUUACGUUGACUUUCUAUACCCCAAAACAGUUUGGCAUGAUUUAUGGCGGACGAUCUGGCGAUCUGGCGACCUGGCGACUUCUUAGGAGAUUACUUUUGUAUACUAUCCAUACGAGGAGUAUGGAUUGUGCCUGUGGCAGACGGGGGAUGCGGAUGCUCCUGAUGCUAAUUCGUGGUUCAGGUAGUAAGCGGAACACAAUAUUUUUCCCAUCCGCUGCCAUUUAUCGGUCCGCUUUCUGACAGGAUACUAUGUCUUAUUAUAACGCAGAUGAUACUGUUACUUCACAUC
This 3909-nucleotide small RNA is filed under the name Drosophila pseudoobscura pseudoobscura. RNAcentral's name for it is "GA32815". Lineage: Eukaryota; Metazoa; Arthropoda; Insecta; Diptera; Drosophilidae. The record is from RNAcentral.